Long non-coding RNA from Daphnia pulex (common water flea), 1205 nucleotides. RefSeq lists it as uncharacterized. The record is from RefSeq and is a predicted model, not a curated record. The transcript has 5 exons. NCBI's taxonomy places the organism in Eukaryota, Metazoa, Arthropoda, Branchiopoda, Diplostraca, Daphniidae.
GUCGUUAGUGUCGCCCUUGUUGUUUUACGUCGUGAAACGAGGCAAAAUGGGCGAAACAAUUGGUUGCUAAUUAAUACUUAUAUUCCUGUGAUUUCAUGUAACAAAUUGAACUUCUUAUCAUAUAUGCAUACUGUCAGUCAUUCCAAAAAGUUGACUUAGCGCUCAGUCACUUUCCAAGUUUCCAUCCAAUAGACCCAUCAUGUUGUCAAAAGCCUAAAACUAAUGUGUGAAGCUCUCAUGUCGUGGAAUACAAAUGUGUGGAGACAAGGUAUUUCCCCAUUACUGCUACCACACCAACCACACAAAACCAACCACCUUACUAAAUUCGGCACCAUUCACCCAUAUGAUAAAGGAAAUUUACCUCAACCUAAGGAGUAAGGCUGUUGGUUGCUGUGAUUUCCAUUUUUACGGUUUUUUAUCAUGAAAACUUCAGUGUGCUUGUUAGUAUAGAGCACAUAAAAGAUCCAAUAAGCCAAUGCUGAUCUUUGUCCAUGACGGAAGAGGGACAUCCAGCAACGUUCUGCUCCAUCCUUAUCUUCCCGACGUACACUCAUCUAGCUUCAAUGCUUUUGCUGCUACAACUUGUCUUACUUCACUGACGAGUUGGAACACUUCAGUGGUCGCUACCCUUUGCUGUUAAACACCUGCAGUCACUCACCACGGGAUUAUGCCUAGAUGAUGCAGAGGAGACGACGAGAAGAUUGACACCAAAACAUCGCCGGUAUCUCCAAAGUGUCAGCGCGGAUCAUUAUUUGUUGUGUGUAAUAUGUGUUAGUGUUAGUUAACCUGUUGGUUGCCACGCCUUUGUUCUCCCCUGCUCCUUAGCACGUGCUGCGUGCGCUGUUCGGCCUCGUGGUUUUCAUGCCGAGGGGUCGGAAAGUCGCACCAGCCCAAAACUUGCCGCAAGGCGCCUGUUAGGCAAUGCACCAUACUACCCUAGUUCCCCCUUGUCGAUGCGGUGAUGGAUUCUUCUGUCACCGUCUCAGCCCGGACUUGUCAGCAAUGGCAAGUUCCACCUUGGUCAUAGAUCCUUUAGACGUGGCGUGUAGAGUAGUAGAGAGCAACCUACGGGUUGUAUGGCGUGGCAGCCAACGGGUUAACUUGUAUGUAUGUGAUUGUAAAAUGUGGUGGAAUUGUGGGUGGAGGUGGGACUUUUUAUGUAUUUUUUGCUGUGUUUCAUAACUAGUAAUAAGAAAAUGUUUAGU